GUUUAAAUAGUUUAAUAAAAAUGUUAGUUUGUGGUACUAGAGAUAUAAAGUCAAUUAUUUUAAACU
This 66-nucleotide transfer RNA is filed under the name Laurentaeglyphea neocaledonica. Its description in RNAcentral is "tRNA-His". It matches the Rfam family "tRNA". From Rfam's summary of the family: Transfer RNA (tRNA) molecules are approximately 80 nucleotides in length. Their secondary structure includes four short double-helical elements and three loops (D, anti-codon, and T loops). Further hydrogen bonds mediate the characteristic L-shaped molecular structure. tRNAs have two regions of fundamental functional importance: the anti-codon, which is responsible for specific mRNA codon recognition, and the 3' end, to which the tRNAs corresponding amino acid is attached (by aminoacyl-tRNA synthetases). tRNAs cope with the degeneracy of the genetic code in two manners: having more than one tRNA (with a specific anti-codon) for a particular amino acid; and 'wobble' base-pairing, i.e. permitting non-standard base-pairing at the 3rd anti-codon position. Lineage: Eukaryota; Metazoa; Arthropoda; Malacostraca; Decapoda; Glypheidae. The record is from RNAcentral.